GGUGCUGUGGCUUAGUUGGUCAAAGUGCCUGUCUAGUAAACAGGAGAUCCUGGGUUCAAAUCCCAGCAGUGCCC
This is a non-coding RNA of Cyprinodon tularosa, 74 nucleotides long. The record is from the annotation of a RefSeq genome assembly. NCBI's taxonomy places the organism in Eukaryota, Metazoa, Chordata, Actinopteri, Cyprinodontiformes, Cyprinodontidae.